GGGAGCGGUGGGGGGGCCUGCCCGUGGGAUGGCCGCCCGUGAGGACGCUUUGGGGUUUUUUUUGCGGAGUCCCGGCCCUCCUUGGGGCGUAAAGCCUAGGAGCGCUUGGCCCUGCCCGAGGUGGUUUGCCCCGAGUGUGGGGCCGCUGCCUCUGGCGGGAGAAGGGGUGUGAGGUGCCUCCGUGCCUCGUCCCCUUCCAGCUUUAUUUAGGAGCAGGUUUCUCUGAGGCGGCAGCGGGUCCCGGCUGGGCGGGGAGCGGUGUGACACCGGGCGGGGGAGGCGGGGGCUGCGCUGCCCCAGCGGGUCCUGCUCGUCCCGGCUGUGUUUCGGGGGUGGUGACAUCCGAAAUGGUGUCUAAAAACAGUGCUUAAUGGCUGGCGGUUUUUAUAGAUUGUAAUCGGCCCAUUAGGUGUACAGAUAUCAGACAUCGUGAUGCCGUGGCCCUUGCUGCUGUCCCGUUAGGAUGCAGAGCAGGCCUAUGGAGAAUAUUUCAAAGUUUAUCCUGGAAGAUAAUAUUUAUCAAAAUGCGACAUCUUCUGUAGAAAAGAUAAAGCCUUUUUUGAUAUCUGAGCAAAAUCCACAGUAUCAUCCCUACACAAUGUGUGCAUAGUGGAGAAAUACACAUUUGGUGUGUGUCUUGAUGUAAUAGAGGAUUUGUGUUCGUUUCUUAGAAUUGUAAUAUGAAGCAUGUUCUGUCAAAUUGAAUAUGCCCUGGCACAGAUCUGGGUAGACUCCAUAUCUUCUGAAGUAUAAAUCCUUACAAAUCAUGUUAGAAGAGUUAUUCUUCCCAAGAUAAUUAUUCAAAGGAUUUUGAAGAUCUGAAUAGAUGACGGCACCAGGGAUGACUGUAGAGAGAAGCUGUAACUGCAGUUUUACCAACAGAUGCAGAAUGAAUGAGAUACCUUCUGACUGUCAUUGUUGCCAUCAGCAAGUAGAAAAACUAUUCAUGUCAAACCAGUACAUCACCGAUGGGGAGCAUGACUAAGAAGACAGUGCUGGCAAUAGUGGAAGUCCUGUAACCACGUGUGCAUUGUACCUUCUGUCAUACUCCAGCCUGUGAGAACUUCUGAAAAAUUUGAGAAGGCUUUUCUGUUAAAACAAAUGUUCAUGAAUAUCAGUGUUGUACUUUUGUAAUUUUAAGUUAAAAGCUGCUAAACAGUCGCAAAAUAA
This is a long non-coding RNA of Tyto alba (common barn owl), 1170 nucleotides long. RefSeq lists it as uncharacterized. The transcript is spliced from 6 exons. The record is from RefSeq and is a predicted model, not a curated record. Lineage: Eukaryota; Metazoa; Chordata; Aves; Strigiformes; Tytonidae.